CACUUACUACUUGGAUAACCGUGGUAAUUCUAGAGCUAAUACAUGCGUACAUAACCUCGACUUCUGGAAGAGGUGCACUUAUUAGAUAAAAAGCCAACGCGGGCAACCGCUUGUAUGGCGAUUCAUAAUAAUUAAUCGAAUCGCAUGGCCUUGUGCCGGCGAUGAUGCAUUCAAAUUUCUGCCCUAUCAAGUUUCGAUGGUAGGUUAGUGGCCUACCAUGCUUUUAACGGGUAACGGGGAAUUAGGGUUCGAUUCCGGAGAGGGAGCCUGAGAAACGGCUACCACAUCCAAGGAAGGCAGCAGGCGCGCAAAUUACCCAAUCCCGACACGGGGAGGUAGUGACAAUAAAUAACAAUACAGGGCCUUUACGGGUCUUGUAAUUGGAAUGAGUACAAUUUAAAUCCCUUAACGAGGAACAAUUGGAGGGCAAGUCUGGUGCCAGCAGCCGCGGUAAUUCCAGCUCCAAUAGCGUAUAUUAAAGUUGUUGCAGUUAAAAAGCUCGUAGUUGAAUUUUGGCCUUGGUUUGUGAGGUUCGGCCUUCACUGGUCGGUACCUUUACGAACCGGGCUCCACCUUCUGGGUUAGCCAGUUGUUACUUCGGUGCAGCUGGUGAACCAGAACUUUUACUUUGAAAAAAUUGGAGUGUUUAAAGCAGGCUUUCAAGCUUGAACAUAUUAGCAUGGAAUAAUGAAAUAGGACUUUGGCCUUAUUUCGUUGGUUUCUAAAGCCAAGGUAAUGAUGAAUAGGGAUAGUUGGGGACAUUAGUAUUCAAUUGUCAGAGGUGAAAUUCUUGGAUUUAU
RNAcentral lists this ribosomal RNA (800 nucleotides) under uncultured fungus. RNAcentral's name for it is "SSU rRNA". It matches the Rfam family "Eukaryotic small subunit ribosomal RNA", at positions 129 to 929 of the family's 1831-position model. Lineage: Eukaryota; Fungi. The record is from RNAcentral.